This 351-nucleotide ribosomal RNA is filed under the name Triticum aestivum (bread wheat). RNAcentral's name for it is "partial small subunit ribosomal RNA". Lineage: Eukaryota; Viridiplantae; Streptophyta; Magnoliopsida; Poales; Poaceae. The record is from RNAcentral.
AUGCUGUAUUACCGAGAGGGCCUAGAGAUAUCUCUCCAUCAGACAGAGUGGCAAAUCAUAGUCUCGAUCCAUGCAACCAAAGAAACACUUUUUGAGAUACAUAAUCGGGCGUCCUACCCAUGGGUUGUAUUGGGUGAUUUUAACGAAAUCCUAUAUUCCCAUUAGAAAGAAGGCGACAAUGCAAGACAAAAUGCAAUGAUGAUAGAAUUUCGUAAUUGUUUGGGUGAUUGUGGCCUGGAAGAUCUGGGAUAUAUUGGGGAUCCUUUCACUUGGAGGGGAGGGGCAAUUAGGGAGAUACUUGACCGUGCCGUAUAUAAUGUGGAAUGGGUGAUUCUGACCAUUGUCAUCUAA